This 338-nucleotide unclassified non-coding RNA is filed under the name soil metagenome. RNAcentral's name for it is "partial contains 5.8S ribosomal RNA, internal transcribed spacer 2, and large subunit ribosomal RNA". The stretch from base 1 to 120 matches the Rfam family "5.8S ribosomal RNA", at positions 35 to 154 of the family's 154-position model. The record is from RNAcentral.
GAUGAAGAACGUAGCGAAAUGCGAUAAGUAGUGUGAAUUGCAGAAUUCAGUGAAUCAUCGAAUCUUUGAACGCACAUUGCGCCCCUUGGUAUUCCAUGGGGCAUGCCUGUUCGAGCGUCAUCUACACCCUCAAGCUCUGCUUGGUGUUGGGCGUCUGUCCCGCCCCCGCGCGUGGACUCGCCCCAAAUCCAUUGGCAGCGUUCCUUGCCCCCUCUCGCGCAGCACAUUGCGCUUCUCGAGGGCGGCUCCGGGACGCGAUCCAGCAAGAUGACCACCGUCUUUGACCUCGUAUCAGGUAGGGAUACCCGCUGAACUUAAGCAUAUCAAUAAGCGGAGGA